RNAcentral lists this small RNA (28 nucleotides) under Bombyx mori (domestic silkworm). RNAcentral's name for it is "ovarian small RNA-22564". Lineage: Eukaryota; Metazoa; Arthropoda; Insecta; Lepidoptera; Bombycidae. The record is from RNAcentral.
UAGCUUAGGCAUUCCGGUCCGGUGGUAG